RNAcentral lists this ribosomal RNA (200 nucleotides) under uncultured bacterium. RNAcentral's name for it is "partial 16S ribosomal RNA". It matches the Rfam family "Bacterial small subunit ribosomal RNA", at positions 8 to 221 of the family's 1533-position model. The record is from RNAcentral.
AGAGUUUGAUCCUGGCUCAGGAUAAACGCUGGCGGCGUGCCUAACACAUGCAAGUCGAACGCGCCAGGGGCAACCCUGGUGAGUGGCGGACGGGUGAGGAACACGUGGGUUAUCUACCUUGAGGUGAGGAAUACCGGCGAGAAAUCGCCGACAAUACCGCAUAGGUUUCGCAAGAAACAAAGCUAAGCAAUUAGCGCCAC